AAACAAGACUGCUUAAAGGGUUACUCCAGGAGUCUGCAUGUGGAGCAUUUCUGCUUAUUCAGCGCAAUCUUAGCUUGUUACACCUAAGGCACACGUGACUUAGGCAGCCCUGCAACUCUGUUCCGGGAUGCCCAAUAUAAAUUCUGUGCAGACAUGAUGCUUCUCAUCAGUGCUAACAGCAUGUUAGCGACAGAUGUAACCAGCUUUUACUUGGGGAAGCUUGAGCUCCCCGCCCUCGUCAAUCGGUUUAGUUAUUGUUAAUAAUGCACUCACUCUGGGCAUCCACCGAUCUCUCCCUCCCCGGGGCACAUAUCCUCCGAGCCAGGUGAAAGGUCCAAUCAAAUGCUCAGCUAUGAAAAGCAUUUGAUUGGACCACGGAGAGGGAAAGAGUGACACAGCAUUACCUUCUUUUGUAGAAUAUUAUUACAAAUUUGGUGGUAGGCAUGCUAAU
Pelobates cultripes (western spadefoot toad) is the source of this 451-nucleotide non-coding RNA. Lineage: Eukaryota; Metazoa; Chordata; Amphibia; Anura; Pelobatidae. The record is from the annotation of a GenBank genome assembly.